UUACCAGUCAGGCUCUGGCUAUACUCCAGGACAGAGUGGGUCCUGGGUAUAACCAAAGCCCGACUGAACA
Neotoma lepida (desert woodrat) is the source of this 70-nucleotide microRNA precursor. It matches the Rfam family "mir-344 microRNA precursor family". NCBI's taxonomy places the organism in Eukaryota, Metazoa, Chordata, Mammalia, Rodentia, Cricetidae. The record is from Rfam.